UUACCAGACUCCUACGGGAGGCAGCAGUGAGGAAUAUUGGUCAAUGGCCGAGAGGCUGAACCAGCCAAGUCGCGUGAGGGAAGAAUGUCCUAUGGCUUGUAAACCUCUUUUGUCAGGGAGCAAAGUCACCCACGUGUGGGUGUUGGAGAGUACCUGAAGAAAAAGCAUCGGCUAACUCCGUGCCAGCAGCCGCGGUAAUACGGAGGAUGCGAGCGUUAUCCGGAUUUAUUGGGUUUAAAGGGUGCGUAGGCGGGAUGCCAAGUCAGCGGUAAAAAUGCGGUGCUCAACGCCGUCGAGCCGUUGAAACUGGCGUUCUUGAGUGGGCGAGAAGUAUGCGGAAUGCGUGGUGUAGCGGUGAAAUGCAUAGAUAUCACGCAGAACUCCGAUUGCGAAGGCAGCAUACCGGCGCCCUACUGACGCUGAGGCACGAAAGCGUGGGUAUCGAACAGGAUUAGAUACCCGAGUA
This 466-nucleotide ribosomal RNA is filed under the name uncultured bacterium. RNAcentral describes it as "bacterial SSU rRNA". It matches the Rfam family "Bacterial small subunit ribosomal RNA", at positions 328 to 792 of the family's 1533-position model. The record is from RNAcentral.